AAAAACAUGUCCUUUAGAGUUUAAUUUAAGGUCUAACCUGCCCACUGAUAAAAUUAAAUGGCCGCAGUAUUUUAACUGUGCAAAGGUAGCAUAAUCAUUAGUCUUUUAAUUGAAGGCUUGUAUGAAUGGUUGGACGAAAUAUUAACUGUUUCAUAAAAAUUUAUUUAGAAUUUUAUUUUUUAGUUAAAAAGCUAAAAUUUUUUUAAAAGACGAGAAGACCCUAUAGAUCUUUAUAAUUUAUUUAUUAUAGUUAUAUAGAUUAUUUAAAUUAUGAUUUUAUAAGUUAUUUUGUUGGGGUGACAUUAAAAUUUAAUAAACUUUUAAUAAAUUUUUACAUUAAUUUAUGAGUAAUUGAUCCAUUAUUAGUGAUUAUAAAAUUAAGUUACCUUAGGGAUAACAGCGUAAUUUUUUUGAAGAGUUCAUAUCGAUAAAAAAGAUUGCGACCUCGAUGUUGGAUUAAGAUAUAAUUUUGGGUGCAGCAAUUCAAUAAUUAAGUCUGUUCGACUUUUAAUUUCUUACAUGAUCU
RNAcentral lists this ribosomal RNA (526 nucleotides) under Evansomyia sp. SLW-2015. RNAcentral describes it as "partial 16S ribosomal RNA". It matches the Rfam family "Bacterial large subunit ribosomal RNA", at positions 1809 to 2606 of the family's 2925-position model. Lineage: Eukaryota; Metazoa; Arthropoda; Insecta; Diptera; Therevidae. The record is from RNAcentral.